GUUAAACGCUGGCGGCAUGCCUUACACAUGCAAGUCGAACGGCAGCACGGGGGCAACCCUGGUGGCGAGUGGCGAACGGGUGAGUAAAGCAUCGGAACGUGCCCUGGAGUGGGGGAUAACGUAGCGAAAGUUACGCUAAUACCGCAUAUUCUGUGAGCAGGAAAGCAGGGGAUCGCAAGACCUUGCGCUCUGGGAGCGGCCGAUGUCGGAUUAGCUAGUUGGUGGGGUAAAGGCCUACCAAGGCGACGAUCCGUAGCGGGUCUGAGAGGAUGAUCCGCCACACUGGGACUGAGACACGGCCCAGACUCCUACGGGAGGCAGCAGUGGGGAAUUUUGGGACAAUGGGCGAAAGCCUGAUCCAGCCAUGCCGCGUGAGUGAAGAAGGCCUCGGUUGGUUAAGACUCUUUCGGUUGGGGUAAGGAAAGUUAG
This 429-nucleotide ribosomal RNA is filed under the name uncultured bacterium. RNAcentral's name for it is "bacterial SSU rRNA". It matches the Rfam family "Bacterial small subunit ribosomal RNA", at positions 28 to 458 of the family's 1533-position model. The record is from RNAcentral.